This is a long non-coding RNA of Tachyglossus aculeatus (Australian echidna), 474 nucleotides long. RefSeq lists it as uncharacterized. The record is from RefSeq and is a predicted model, not a curated record. NCBI's taxonomy places the organism in Eukaryota, Metazoa, Chordata, Mammalia, Monotremata, Tachyglossidae. The transcript has 4 exons.
GAAGGCGAUUCAUUUUGGCAAACAGUAGCCUCAAAACUUUUUCCUUCUGUUCCCAGGUCAGAUCUCCAAUAUCCACCUUCUCCGUAUUGACGUUGGUCCUAAAGGAUCGGGGCAGAGGAAAAUAUCGGCGCAGGCCUUCUGGAGCCGAACGUUUUCCCUGAAGACGGAUCUCCCGGCGUUAUCCAGCUGCCUGCGGCGGAUAAACGUUCACGCGACUCAUCCGAUGGCCUGGACGCUUCCCGGGCCCCAUUCCCAGCUCGGGACGGAGGUCGGGCCUUCGGGUCAAGCGCGCCGCACACGGGAAGCGCUCGUCGUUGCUGAAAGGGAGAAAAAGCGGCUUUCAAUCCUUAAAAGCAGCUCACGCCCUACACCAAACGGGCCUCUUUCUGCAGUCCGUCGCGGCACAGACGAGGAAAGUCAAAGGAGGGGAAGAAAAAGGGGCCGAUGAGGUAACUGAGGCUCGGAGAAGUUAAG